Molecule: ribosomal RNA, 506 nt
Filed under: uncultured bacterium
Lineage: Bacteria
Description: partial 16S ribosomal RNA
Rfam family: Bacterial small subunit ribosomal RNA
Source: RNAcentral
AUUGAACGCUGGCGGCAGGCUUAACACAUGCAAGUCGAGCGGUAACAGAGAGAAGCUUGCUUCUCUGCUGACGAGCGGCGGACGGGUGAGUAAUGCCUAGGAAUCUGCCUAGUAGUGGGGGAUAACUUGCCGAAAGGUAAGCUAAUACCGCAUACGUCCUACGGGAGAAAGGAGGGGACCUUCGGGCCUUUCGCUAUUAGAUGAGCCUAGGUCGGAUUAGUUAGUUGGUGAGGUAAUGGCUCACCAAGACCGCGAUCCGUAACUGGUCUGAGAGGAUGAUCCGUCACACUGGAACUGAGACACGGUACAGACUCCUACGGGAGGCAGCAGUGGGGAAUAUUGGACAAUGGGGGGAACCCUGAUCCAGCCAUGCCGCGUGUGUGAAGAAGGUCUUAGAAUUGUAAAGCACUUUAAGUUGGGAGGAAGAGCAGUUAACUAAUAUUUGACUGUUUUGACGUUACCGACAGAAUAAGCACCGGCUAACUUCGUGCCAGCCGCCGCCGUAA